ACCUCCCACAGCCCACACGAGUCUCUCUAGGCAGUACUCUGACCAACGUCCACUGUAUUGAGCCCUUAUGUUGUUCCUCGCUGCCUUUGAAGGAGCACCUGCCCCGAGAGGGCACAAACACAAGCUACUGCUCCAGCAGCGUGCGGGGACUGGGGUGAGUGGGCAAACUGGGCCGAGAGAGAGCCUGGACUCUGCCCUCUGACUGAAAACGUCUCCCUUCAGCACUUGAGCAACUACCCCUCCAUCUUGAGAGUGGCAAAAACAUCCCUUCCCCAGCUCUCCCCAAGCGAGCUUUGCCACUCGGAACGAAACUCCAGCGAGCAGCUGAAGCACCGAGUGCCUCCCCCAGGCCCUCAGCGACCCCUCCUCACAGAGCUCCUCACAGAGCCGCCGGCCCCAGCUCCAGCCCGCCCCGCUCUGCCACACCCAAGAUGGCGCCCGCGGGCGGCCGCAGCGGCGCAACGCGCGAAGGGGGCGUUAGGCGGGGAGGCGAUAGGCGGCCGCCUCACGUGAGGAGCUGAAAAGGGAAGAGCUCGGGGUGCGUGGGACGGAGUCGCAGUGUUGGAAGGAGCUCUGCCACCAUGAGGAUGAGAUAUGUGUUCCCUCCUCUACUGUACCUCAUGCCUGUGCUGCUGGGGAGUGGUGGUGUUUGGUCAUCCCUGCUUGGACCUGCAGGCCAGCUCCAGAGUGAUGGAGUCAUUGUAUUGUCUGUCCCAGAAGUGGUUUUGUUAGAAAAUGGAAGUUCAACAAAUGUCACGAUAUCUCUGAGGGCUCCGCUAAAUGAGACACUGGUGAUAACUCUUAAUAUUACCCACUCAUCAAAACACAACACUAUUGUUGAACUACCUGGUGAAGUACAUUUGCCUGCAGGUCACACUGGAGGCAGACUUCCAGGUGAAAGCAGAUGACGUUGGACAAGUAACAGUUUAUCUUUAUACCAGUAAUUCCAACUUAACUGGACCUAGGAUUCAAUUUCAAGUGAUUCAUAGCAUCAUAGUGAAAUACGCUGAUGAAGUGAUUGGCUGGAUCUAUUUCCUUGCGUGGUCUAUCUCCUUCUAUCCUCAACUAUUUGAGAACUGGCGGCGAAAAAGGUAAGGAUACUAAGAUGCGUUUGCAAGUUCCAUUAAGCACAUCUGAAAACAAUGUUCCUGGUUUCUUUUUCAUCCUGUCUUGGUUCUUGUGAAUUAUGUAUGGAAAGACUGGGGCAGGAGGAGAAGCAGGGCAAAGAUACUGCCUGAAUAAAUGCAGUCCCAGUGCACUUUUGUGUGUGCAGGUCAGAGGAAUUUACUUGCAUUCUACAGACACCUAAUUCUAAGGUUUGGCAUCCAGUAAUAACUGAUAGAGGACAGCUUUUUGUGUUCCCUUUGGUGUUAUGUUGUAUAUCACCUGACCAAGCCAAUUGUGCUGACACCUUCACAGUUGACUUACCUUGUGAGCUGCUUAUCAGGCAGCUCCUUGUAGUGCUAUCAUUAGACUAGCUCCUGUUUUACUAAAUGACUGCAAGUAGAAAGGUUAUCAUACAUGAAAACUAAAGCAUUCACUUUGGCAAAGAUGCACUACUGCUAUGGAUUUAGGCUGGCAUAGCUUUAUCAGGCUGGCUGAGCUCAUGGAAGGGUGAAGUUAAACAGCAGCAACAAACUUGGCAGUG
Molecule: long non-coding RNA, 1648 nt
Filed under: Anas platyrhynchos (mallard)
Lineage: Eukaryota; Metazoa; Chordata; Aves; Anseriformes; Anatidae
Description: lncRNA (ENSAPLG00020017143.1)
Source: RNAcentral